This 70-nucleotide non-coding RNA is filed under the name Schistosoma margrebowiei. Lineage: Eukaryota; Metazoa; Platyhelminthes; Trematoda; Strigeidida; Schistosomatidae. The record is from RNAcentral.
ACAAUAACUCCGCCUGUAGCUCUUAUAGGGUUACAGCCGGUCCCAAGCCCGGGUAAAGGAGGAGGGUUGG